This 503-nucleotide ribosomal RNA is filed under the name uncultured bacterium. RNAcentral describes it as "partial 16S ribosomal RNA". It matches the Rfam family "Bacterial small subunit ribosomal RNA", at positions 30 to 523 of the family's 1533-position model. The record is from RNAcentral.
AUUGAACGCUGGCGGCAGGCUUAACACAUGCAAGUCGAGCGGGGUGAUGGUGCUUGCACUAUCACUUAGCGGCGGACGGGUGAGUAAUGCUUAGGAAUCUGCCUAUUAGUGGGGGACAACAUCUCGAAAGGGAUGCUAAUACCGCAUACGUCCUACGGGAGAAAGCAGGGGAUCACUUGUGACCUUGCGCUAAUAGAUGAGCCUAAGUCGGAUUAGCGAGUUGGUGGGGUAAAGGCCUACCAAGGGGACGAUCUGUAGCGGGUCUGAGAGGAUGGUCCGCCACACUGGGACUGCGGCACGGCCCAGAGUCCUACGGGAGGCAGCGGUGGGGAAUAUUGGACAAUGGGGGGAACCCUGAUCCAGCCAUGCCGCGUGUGUGAAGAAGGCCUUAUGGUUGUAAAGCACUUUAAGCGAGGAGGAGGCUCUUUUGGUUAAUACCCAAGAUGAGUGGACGUUACUCGCAGAAUAAGCACCGGCUAACUCUGUGCCAGCCGCCGCCGUAA